GGGAAUGUGGCUCAGCGAUAGAGUUCUUGCCUUGCAUGCACUAGGAUCUGGGUUUGAUCCCAGCACCCCCC
Molecule: transfer RNA, 71 nt
Filed under: Cavia porcellus (domestic guinea pig)
Lineage: Eukaryota; Metazoa; Chordata; Mammalia; Rodentia; Caviidae
Rfam family: tRNA
About the family: Transfer RNA (tRNA) molecules are approximately 80 nucleotides in length. Their secondary structure includes four short double-helical elements and three loops (D, anti-codon, and T loops).
Source: Rfam by way of RNAcentral